AUUGAGAUAACCAACUAUAAAUGGGUUUGUAGUUUUAAACUUGUUGCUUCAGAUUUAAUUAGAAAAUUUGUGGUUGCCCAAAUCAUGGUCUCAUGUAUUAUCAAGACCCACCGCCGUUAUAGUUCUUGCUCAAGACUCAAACAAUUACUAUUGCUCCUAUUUUUAAAAGAAAACGCAGUUUGGAUAAAAGGGGCGGAAAUAUUACAGCAAUUUGGUGUUAUAGAUGAAAUUAAAAGUAAAAAAUUAAGUGGAUGUUAAUAGUUUCAGAAAGAGAGAAGUUGCAGAACACGAAGAUAAUUGACAUGAAGGUCUUUGAGAGAUGGAAAACGAAAAGUCGUGUGCAGUGGAUACGGAGCGAGAAUGUAUAGCAUGUGGUUCCUAUUGAUUCAAUGAAGCUCAAAAAUAGAGGCAGCAAUUGAUGAGGUUGCAGCCUCAACUGAGCAGUUGAGUACGUGUUAGUGAUUCUCCAGGAUUUCUCAAGACUAUUCAACAAGCUGUAAGAAUGAUCUUUCAAUUUUUAACGAUUGUGAUUGAUAAGAACUUAAUUAAUUGUUGUUGGUACUUUAAAUUGACUAGGAGAAUUCUGCUUAGUGAAAAGGAAGCAUGGAGCGGUUGCUAAGAAGAUUCUUGUCCUGAUUAUGUUUUGUUACUAGAAGAUUUCAUGGUACUUGUUGGAAUUGUUUUGCUGCAGGUACUAGGUACUUUUUGGUUUAUUUGGUCAAAGAGCCUUCUUGUUUGGAGUGUCUCCACCACAUGAUACAAUAAUGGAUAAACUUUCUCCUGGAUGAAAGGAAGCUAGGAGGUGUUGGAGUCUCUUAUAGAGUUACAAAGUGUAUUAGAAUGAAAAAAAAUAAGCUGGAGUCUCUUAUAAAGUUACCUAGUGUAUUAGAAUGAAAAAAACUAAGCUGUAUAUAGAUAUAAUUUAUGUUUGUCUGUAUUGUAUUGACGAUUCCUAUGUUA
Molecule: long non-coding RNA, 960 nt
Organism: Trifolium pratense (red clover)
Lineage: Eukaryota; Viridiplantae; Streptophyta; Magnoliopsida; Fabales; Fabaceae
Exons: 4
Source: RefSeq, a predicted model, not a curated record